This 508-nucleotide ribosomal RNA is filed under the name uncultured bacterium. RNAcentral describes it as "partial 16S ribosomal RNA". It matches the Rfam family "Bacterial small subunit ribosomal RNA", at positions 30 to 523 of the family's 1533-position model. The record is from RNAcentral.
AUUGAACGCUGGCGGCAUGCCUUACACAUGCAAGUCGAACGGCAGCGGGGGAGAAGCUUGCUUUUCCUGCCGGCGAGUGGCGAACGGGUGAGUAAUACAUCGGAACGUGCCCUGUAGUGGGGGAUAACUAGUCGAAAGAUUAGCUAAUACCGCAUACGACCUGAGGGUGAAAGCGGGGGACCGCAAGGCCUCAUGCUAUAGGAGCGGCCGAUGUCUGAUUAGCUAGUUGGUGGAGUAAAGGCCUACCAAGGCGACGAUCAGUAGCUGGUCUGAGAGGACGAUCAGCCACACUGGGACUGAGGCACGGCCCAGACUCCUACGGGAGGCAGCAGUGGGGAAUUUUGGACAAUGGGCGAAAGCCUGAUCCAGCAAUGCCGCGUGUGUGAAGAAGGCCUUCGGGUUGUAAAGCACUUUUGUCCGGAAAGAAAUGGCUCUGGUUAAUACCUGGGGUCGAUGACGGCACCGGAAGAAUAAGGACCGGCUAACUACGUGCCAGCAGCCGCCGUAA